This 465-nucleotide ribosomal RNA is filed under the name uncultured bacterium. RNAcentral's name for it is "partial 16S ribosomal RNA". It matches the Rfam family "Bacterial small subunit ribosomal RNA", at positions 28 to 507 of the family's 1533-position model. The record is from RNAcentral.
GACGAACGCUGGCGGCGUGCUUAACACAUGCAAGUCGAACGGAAAGGCCCUGCUUGCAGGGUACUCGAGUGGCGAACGGGUGAGUAACACGUGGGUGAUCUGCCCUGCACUUCGGGAUAAGCCUGGGAAACUGGGUCUAAUACCGGAUAGGAGCCAUUUUUAGUGUGAUGGUUGGAAAGUUUUUUCGGUGUAGGAUGAGCUCGCGGCCUAUCAGCUUGUUGGUGGGGUAAUGGCCUACCAAGGAGGCGACGGGUAGCCGGCCUGAGAGGGUGGACGGCCACAUUGGGACUGAGAUACGGCCCAGACUCCUACGGGAGGCAGCAGUGGGGAAUAUUGCACAAUGGGCGCAAGCCUGAUGCAGCGACGCCGCGUGGGGGAUGACGGCCUUCGGGUUGUAAACUCCUUUCGCUAGGGACGAAGCUUUUUGUGACGGUACCUAGAUAAGAAGCACCGGCUAACUACGUG